RNAcentral lists this ribosomal RNA (485 nucleotides) under uncultured bacterium. RNAcentral's name for it is "bacterial SSU rRNA". It matches the Rfam family "Bacterial small subunit ribosomal RNA", at positions 9 to 476 of the family's 1533-position model. The record is from RNAcentral.
GAGUUUGAUCCUGGCUCAGGAUGAACGCUGGCGGCGUGCCUAAUACAUGCAAGUCGAGCGAACAGAUAAGGAGCUUGCUCCUUUGACGUUAGCGGCGGACGGGUGAGUAACACGUGGGUAACCUACCUAUAAGACUGGAAUAACUCCGGGAAACCGGGGCUAAUGCCGGAUAAUAUUUAGAACCGCAUGGUUCUAAAGUGAAAGAUGGUUUUACUAUCACUUAUAGAUGGACCCGCGCCGUAUUAGCUAGUUGGUGGGGUAAUGGCUUACCAAGGCAACGAUACGUAGCCGACCUGAGAGGGUGAUCGGCCACACUGGAACUGAGACACGGUCCAGACUCCUACGGGAGGCAGCAGUAGGGAAUCUUCCGCAAUGGGCGAAAGCCUGACGGAGCAACGCCGCGUGAGUGAUGAAGGUCUUCGGAUCGUAAAACUCUGUUAUUAGGGAAGAACAAAUGUGUAAGUAACUGUGCACAUCUUGACGGU